GUGGGGAAUAUUGGACAAUGGGCGCAAGCCUGAUCCAGCCAUGCCGCGUGAGUGAUGAAGGCCUUAGGGUUGUAAAGCUCUUUCAGUAGGGAAGAUAAUGACGGUACCUACAGAAGAAGCCCCGGCUAACUUCGUGCCAGCAGCCGCGGUAAUACGAAGGGGGCUAGCGUUGUUCGGAUUUACUGGGCGUACAGCGCACGUAGGCGGAUUGGUCAGUUAGAGGUGAAAUCCCGAAGCUCAACUUCGGAACUGCCUUUAAUACUGCCAGUCUCGAGUCCGGAAGAGGUGAGUGGAACUCCUAGUGUAGAGGUGGAAUUCGUAGAUAUUAGGAAGAACACCAGUGGCGAAGGCGGCUCACUGGUCCGGUACUGACGCUGAGGUGCGAAAGCGUGGGGAGCAAACAGGAUUAGAUACCCGUGUAGUCC
This 425-nucleotide ribosomal RNA is filed under the name uncultured bacterium. RNAcentral's name for it is "partial 16S ribosomal RNA". It matches the Rfam family "Bacterial small subunit ribosomal RNA", at positions 354 to 796 of the family's 1533-position model. The record is from RNAcentral.